UGGGGAAUUUUGGACAAUGGGCGAAAGCCUGAUCCAGCAAUGCCGCGUGUGUGAAGAAGGCCUUCGGGUUGUAAAGCACUUUUGUCCGGAAAGAAAUCCUUGGCUCUAAUACAGUCGGGGGAUGACGGUACCGGAAGAAUAAGCACCGGCUAACUACGUGCCAGCAGCCGCGGUAAUACGUAGGGUGCAAGCGUUAAUCGGAAUUACUGGGCGUAAAGCGUGCGCAGGCGGUUUGCUAAGACCGAUGUGAAAUCCCCGGGCUCAACCUGGGAACUGCAUUGGUGACUGGCAGGCUAGAGUAUGGCAGAGGGGGGUAGAAUUCCAGUGUAGCAGUGAAAUGCGUAGAGAUGUGGAGGAAUACCGAUGGCGAAGGCAGCCCCCUGGGCAAUACUGACGCUCAUGCACGAAAGCGUGGGGAGCAAACAGGAUUAGAUACCCUGGUAGUCCACGCCCUAAACGAUGUCAACUAGUUGUUGGGGAUUCAUUUUCUUAGUAACGUAGCUAACGCGUGAAGUUGACCGCCUGGGGAGUACGGUCGCAAGAUU
Molecule: ribosomal RNA, 545 nt
Filed under: uncultured bacterium
Lineage: Bacteria
Description: partial 16S ribosomal RNA
Rfam family: Bacterial small subunit ribosomal RNA
Source: RNAcentral